CACCUCCCGCGAGCCUUCCCGCUGCGGAGCAUGCUCGCGCCUCCCGCGAGUCCUCCUGUGGCAAGGACGAAUAUGACAUGGAUUUUGUGCGGAGCAUAGAGAAUGUCAACUUCUACUUUCACUACUGAUCUGUUGUUUCAUAUCGUAAGGUUGAUCUAUAUACUGUUGCUCGGAGAAAGAUGACCAACUAUCAUACUGUUGUUAGUCGUAAGAUUCUCCAUAGUACGACGGUUGUUAAUACGAUGAGCUUCACUUUGUGUAGGCUUUAUUGCAUCUGUUCAAAAUUAUCCAUUGUCUUACCCUUUCCUUUCCGUCCAUAAACUUGAUCAGUAUCUUGUCGAGCUCCAAAAUCUCAAUCUUGGGUGGCAUGUGUAAAAUACUACUCCUCGGUCCAUGCACCACCAUCAAAUUGUGUAGACGGGACCAUUGACUCCCUGGUCCUCCACCAUCAUCGGUCGAGGCACUAUUGUCCAAGUCACUACUAUGUCUCUAGAUCGAGCGGGUUUGUUAAAUACGAUUGCAAAUGUGUCUUGUCGCCCAACUUGAUUCUUUCUAACGAUGCAACUAAUGCUGCUGCCUUACCCUUUGCCUUUGCCUUUGUACGUUGGACGGAUAACUACGGCAGUUGGGUGUUUUUAGUUUGUAGAGUAGUCUAACUUGAAGAUGUCCGACUCCUUCCGCCAUGUUCUGACUGAGGGGGAUCUUCCUUGGGUUGGGAUGUGCUUCCUCUUUUCCUAUUGCCUCAAUAAAAUGCGAAGGACGUUGAGGAUCUCCCGUCUCAUCAAGUAGAAGAUCCUCUUGGUUCUUCGUUUCUUCGACCCACUCUAGAAUCGGCUCUUAAUCUUUGUUGUAUAAUUGGAGGUUGAUGGGAUUAAUCUUUGUUUCCUUUGGCUCCUUGUCCAGCUCGGCACAUCGCAACCUUAGCUACAUGUUAUAGUAGAUAUAUACUAGUUUCUCCAACCGCCUAUACGAUAGCUUGUUGUAGUCCUUCGUAUGAAUCAAUACGAACAUUGACCAAUUACAUUCGUAAUCACUAGAUGUUGUCGUCUACGAAAGGACACGGAUGACAAUCUUCCUUAAAUUUGGUACAUCCCCUCUAAAAUGCAGCGACCACUUGAUUGCAAAAAGAUGCAAAUAAGACUUUAUUAACAUAAUAAAUAAUUAAUAUCAAAAUUAGUUUAUAAUCCAUAUGUGUGUAAUUUUUCCUCACCAGGAUCUAUAUUAUAACGACAUGAUAUAGUUACAACGUUGGAGAAUGAGCCAAUUGUUUCUUACAAUAAUUAGCUUUUCAUAUUGCAUUGAUAGUGUUUGAUAAGAGUCAAUAUAUAAUAUUUCUUUGUGUCGAUAAUAAAUCUGAUCGUGUUCUAAGACUACAUCGAAAUUGAAUGGUUGGAUUUAGAUUAUAUGCUGCAAGACAUAAUUUUGUUAGUGAGAAUUUUUUAAAUAUUAAAAAAUAAUGAAUUAAAUUACACUGAAUAUGAAUUUAACUACAUUAUGGAUAUCUUUGUCCAUGUGAACUUCAGUUCUGUGAUCAAUGAUCUGUAAGUAUUGGUUGGCCUUAAAAUCAUCUUUGAAUGCUUUCUUGACCUUCUCUCUUGUUGUAAUCAACAUAUGUCUAAGAUAAAACAUUUGUGGAUGCGUGUCCAUAUCUAUCUUACGGAGAACAGUGUAAAGUGGUUCCACACCUUUCAUGAUUUCAUUCAUGAUAUCCCAAAAUCUAAAAGAAAGAAUAGUCUUUUCUAUCUUUUUUACAUAGCCCGAUCUCGAAUACCUGGAAUCGGACCAUUCAUGUUAGGCCCUGCCUCUUUUAUUGUAUUGACUUUAAAGCAAUGAAAUUUAUUGUAAACCGAGUGACUACAGGUUUGAGUAUCUCACCAUUUAUAUACUUUUGCAUUAAAGAGUGGACCCAUUGAUGAUAUAUAUAAACUUUGUGAUCGACUAUGCUCGAGCUACACGCUUGUUGACUAAUGGUAGCUCGCCAAUAUCCUUCAACAUUAAAUCCAUACAAUGAGCUGCUUAUGGAGUCCAAAACAAUAUUUUUCUUUUUUCUAUCUAUUAUAAAUCGAUCUUCUUGAAAUUGGCUCCAUUAUCGGUGAUUAUAUAAACAAUGUACUAUGGUUCGAUCUCGUCUACUAUGAUGAUACUUGUCGAAAGUAUUAACUGACUUAUGAAAAACCACUAGUCUAUUGCAAUAAACAAGAAAAUUGAUGACACUUAUUCUUGUUGACCCUGUCCAACUAUCAUACAUCAAUGUUACCCCAUAUUCGUCCCAUUGCCUCUUGAAGGAUUUGAUCCAGUCAUUCAGUUCUGCCACCUCCUCAUCUAAAUACACACUGUGGAUCUGUUUCGGUGUUGGAUGCUGGAUCCCCGUGCCAGACUUUUGAGCCUUAGGUUGUGCUUGUUAGAAUCCUGUAGAAGUUGAACCAUUUUGCAAUAGCCUUCCCAAUAUUUUGCCUAUUUUCAAACGGUCAAUUUGAUCGUUUGAAUUAGGCCAAUCUUAGUCCUUGAUCGAUAAUGGUUUAAAUCCGACUGUUAUCGACUUGUACAGGUUGGUAAUGGUCCCCAUUGAUCAGUGAUUUCAAUAGGCGCUCGGGCGCUCCCCUAGGAGCUCGGGCGAGACGAGGCGAGGCCCGAGUGCCACGCUUCAUGUCCAGGCGCCUCGCUUCAAAGAGGCGCCACUUGGGCGCUCACUCGAGCCCAGGCGUCGGGCGCUUCGGGAGAGCGCCUAGGUUAAACCAAGCGAUCGAACCAGAUUUUUAGGUCUGGUUGGUCUCCGGUGCUUUAGUUGGUUCAAUCGAACCAACUAAAUCACCGAUAUCAGGCUCCCUCUCGUGAUUUCCCCGACUUCCUCAACCCUAACACUCGCGAUUUUGUCAUUGAGAUUUCUUCUCUGUUGUUGUUGCUCUCUACUGUCGAUGCCACUAUCCCUGCUCGCUGCUGCCACAAUCACUGCUCGUCGUUGCUACAAUCGUUGCUUGCUGCUGCUGUCGUCACUUGUCGCGGUUGUCGCCACUCCCGCUGCCGCUCAUAGCUCCCGCUUCCACUCCCCCUAUCGUCGUCGCUCAUCGCUCCCGCUUCAGCUACGACUGUUACUUGCUACCGCUACUGCUACCACUACCACUAUCGUUACCUUAGCCUCGGUCUUCUCACACUCUUCUCAUUAUACUGUUAACAGUAUAUUAACAGUACAUUGCUAAUUGUAUACUAAUAAUAGUAUUUUUAUUUAUUAGAUUAAUAAUUAUUCUUUUGAUUUUAAUACUAUUAAUUUUUAUUUAUUUAAUACUAUAUUUUUUAUUUAAAAAAUAAAAAAAUACUAUUAUGGUUUAUUUUUUAUUGUGAUAUUGUACUCGAUUUUCUUAAUUUAAUAGCAUAUUUUUAUUUAAAUAAUUAUAUUUUUUAAUUAUAUUAUAUAUUUUUAUAUUUUAGUGCCUUGCUUCGCUCGGGCGAGCGCCUAGCGCCUUGGGUGUUUUUGGACCUUAGCGCCUUUUGGCACCUAGCGUUUUUUAAAUCACUGUCAUUGAUACAAUACCUUAAAUCAGCAUGGUCAGACUACAAUUGCUUCGGAAAAUAUCAAGCCAACCCUAAAUAGUUGGAAUAUUAUGGCUUGUUUUUGUACUUGUGGAUUGUUGUACUUGUGUGGUAAUCAAGGAUUUUACAGCAAAAUGUGGAUACAAGAAUCUUGGUUUAAUGAGAUUAAUAGUGCAGUAACUUUCUAUCAGAUGCAUUCUGGAGAUUGCACAUCCUAAAAUUUGGUGUAUAUGUUUGAACUUUUCUCAUGCGUGUUUAGCAAUUUGUUCUCAUCUGUUUUCUACUGCAUGGGUGGAUUUAUUUGCUUGAUAUCUGCUGAUUUAUUUUGUGUCAUUCUUUCCUUUGAUUUACUGCUGGGGUUUUUAAAUGGUGUCUCUAACCUUUUUAGGUGUAUUUCUUCUUAAAAUUAUAUGUAAGAUGAGUAAUUUGAAAAGUCAAUUUAUUUAUCAUUUACUGCCAAUACUCUUUUUUUCCUCUAAAUUGGUUUGGUCAAUUGCCACAGAUGCGAGCUGUAUCCUCAGAGUUAGAGGUCCUUGGUAGGCAUCAACACCCAAAUUUAACUAUUCCAUUUCUAAAGGCUGUGGGUGAAAUUGCAAAGGCAUCACAAACUGAAGCAUCUUCUUUGCCAGAUCAGACAGAAAUAUUUAGUUCACAAGUCAGCUCCAAGAUUCUUAUGAUGCAAAAAUGGAUUAAUGAGAAUCAUGUGGAUAGUAGCUCCUUCUCCAUGUGUACCGAAUCCCAGGCUUAGAAAUUGGAUCUGUCAAUUUUGAUGAUGUUAGUCUUCACUUGGAAUAUUGGGAGGAAUUAUUGUUUUAGUUUAAUGAGAUGAAAAGAUACAGAAGAAUUGUUGGAUCUCUUGUUGGAUCAUGCUUAAAAGCUGCAUCACCACUUGUUUCUUCACAGAAAGAAUCAGCUUGUCUGGUGUCUCUGGACAUUUAUUGAGGUACUUGCUUGAUAUGUUUGUUGAUAAAACAUUUUUGGCCAAAUGAAUCUCUUUCUAAUUCUCAUUCUGCUGUUGCAAAUACUGUUUGGUGUUUAAUUGUCAGAAGGCAGCUCAAUGCACAGGCACCCAUUAAUGCAGGUCUGGGAAGGGUCAAUUAUGCAGUUCUUUCUUUCAGUCAGGGAGAAUUAAAUUUAGUCUUUCUCAAUUUAAGUUUCUACUAUAUAAAGGGAAAACACAAAUUAAGCUCAGCCAUUUCAGUAUUUAUUGUGAUGUGAGGAAACCUCUUAGUUACCUGUGUUUAAAGUGAAACCUUACAAGUGACUUAAAAGAAAAAAAAAUCUGGAUUGAAAAUAAGAAAAGAACAAAGGACAGCACAUGUUGCCUCACAAGUAGGAUACCUUUUCAUGUUGAUGACCCUUUUCGUUUGUUUAGCAUUUCUUUGUUUGAUAGCAGUAUUUUCAAACUAAUGGGGCUAUGUAAUUUUAGUGGAAAAUUAAUUGAUUACUUAUUCAUAUACGGCAACUUGGAUUUCUGAAAUUUUUUGACGUGAGGAUACUUGGGUAGAUGGCUUACCAUUAUGUACCUAUCAGAUACCUUAUUCAUUAGAUAAUUUUUUGGUACAAGUGAUCUGUGCUUAGUCUGUGAAUUCAAAAUUUUUUACUACCAUUCAUACGCUUUAUGCUUUUCAUGGAGUGUAUUUUGCAAAUGGUUCUUCUUACGAAUGACAAGCUAUUAAUGAUGGAUAGAAUGAUUACUGGCUACAUAAUGUAGUUUGCUUGUCAUUUGCAAGGUUAUAAAGUUGGACAAAUUUUGAAGUCUAUGUUUACCUAAAAUCCAAUGAUUACAAACUAGAAAUUAUUUAAGCAAUAGGAACAUGUACAUUGCCAUGCAGAUUUUCGAUUAUGUAGGUCCAAAUGAAGGUUUUUUAAAGCUUUAUUUUCAUUUGGAUCUGUUAUUUUAGAUGUUUAUUUUUGAAGAAAGUUCAUUUGGCUCUGCUAUAAUAGUCGUUUAUUCUGUGACUUGUUCUGGAUUAUUGUAACAGGGAAGCCAUUGUUUUGCUAAGUGAAAGGCUUGCAUUUACCAUCUCUUUGUUCUUUAUAUAACUAUAUGCUUGUCAAGGAUUUUAAGAUGUCGACCAUUUGGAGAUGUUACUGUAUUAUUUCCCUAAAUCAUGUGUUUCGUUGUGGCUUUCAGUUUCUAGAAGUGCCACUUUUAUUGGGGUAGCAACCAUGAAAAGUCAGAACAUGUUCUGAAUGUUGUUAUAUGGUUUAAUUGGGAAAAUGAACUGUUCUGAGUAUGAUUUCAAGUUUGUCAUAAUUUCCUUGGUGUAGGAUACUUUGGGUCAUGGGUACAAUCCAAGCAUGGGCCAUGCUGCUUGGUUUUUGGUAUGUGGGGGUAGGGAUAAUGUUGACUUUUUUGGAUUAGUUCCUGAUAGUUCUGUUGCUUUUCGGUCGUGUUCACUUAGUAAGUUGGGGUAAGACAUCUUGAUCUUUUCACAGCAUUUAACUAAAUGCUUUUUUUCCCAAAAAAAGGUAAGAGACAUGAAAACUUGAUGGUUCUUAAUUUUUGUUGAUUUAAGCCUUUUUUUAAUGGAUUUGAAGUGUAAUAUAUCAUAUGAAUUCCAUUUUUGCUUAGAUGUUCUCUAUUUAUAAAGCCGAAUAAAACUUUGAGAUUGGAUUUUUAAUUUGUUUAUCUUGUCGUGUAUGAUGGCAACCUGGAAAAUACAGUAUUGCAAAACAGAUCAACAACCUGCAUCAUAAUUUCAAGUAGUAUGAUCAAAGUAAAUAGACAGCAACUUCUUGUUGGUGUCUUUUUCUCAACACUCCUUUUCUCUUUCUGGAAUAAUGUUGUAUUUUGCAGAGAACAAAAUUUCACAUUUAUUCCCAAGGUCUCAGUCCAUUGUCUUAUUACUUUUAAGCAAGUCAUUUAGGACUAUCAGUUUAGCAGAUUCUGCCUGUAAAUUGCUGCCCUAAAAAGGUGUUACUGGUUAGACUGUUGCAACAAAGCAAAUGUUAAUGGAAGUCUUGGUUUCUGUGCCAAAAUCAGUUGAUAUGGUAGGAAAUGUGAACCCUCUUCUCCAUAUUAUUAUUGGUUAUGUUUGACAAUUGUGUGUUGGUUUUGAACCAUUGCAUAAUAUGUUUUCUUUGUUCAACUAAAUAAAAUAAUUAGAUGUAUACUUUUGUUAGGGGCUUGAGUGGUAAAUAUCUUAUUGGAAAAUAGUAAAACAAAAUCUUUCUUGUUAUUCUCCUUAGAUUUCAGUUGUUUGUACUUUAGAGUAAGGCAUUUUUUUGUAGGAUGUUUCUGUAUCUCUUGCAAAAGUGGAGGAAGCUUAUAAGCACGGGAAACAAACCAAAGCAGCAAUCUGGGAAGCAGUUCAGUUGCUAUCACUAAAUGAUCUGAAAGAUGGGAUGGAGGCUGCAGAUGAGGAAGCUGACGAGAACAGAGUGCUUCCAGCAAUGAACAUAAUCUGGCCUUAUUUGAUUCUUUGCCUUAAAAAUAAGGUUUCAGUGGUAUGAUAGAUUUUUUUUUUUGCUAAUUUAGUAAAUCUCUUUGGUCUUUUUUCCGUUAACAUUUAGUCUAUUCUGCGACAUCGUACUUUGCUCGAUUGUCUGAUUUAUGCUGAAGCUUCAUAUAUAUUUCUCAUGUCUUGGGAAUGGGAAUGGAGUGGUUUACAAGAAAUUAAAAAAGAAAAGACAGAGGAGAAUAAUGAUAAUAUUUAACAAUGAGCUCAAGUACCAUAUGAUCAAACGCAUACUAGUCUUGAGUGUAGAGAUAGACAUUUUAUCUAAUCCUUCUUGCUUUAUUUGAUAAUGAAGUUGUAACAAUUGUUAAUGCUUGACAGCUCCAAUAACACCAUAUUUUGUUUGAUGCUUUAGUGGAUUAUGUAUGAUUAUGCAUAUAGGACAAAAGGGGGGUUUGGAGCUUUAGGGCUUAUGUAAUGAGAGAGUUAAGAGGUAGGAUAAUUGGGGGAGAAAUAAGAUAGAUAUUAGGUGGAUAUCUUGGAUUCACUCAAGUCUACCAAACUCACUUCAUGGGAAGAUUGUUGACAUCACAUCACACUGUAUUGUUGUCACAAGAAAUUAAAUCAAGUUAGUACAAUCAUAGGAUACAUGCUCAUAAAAACUAUAAGUAUUUUAAAAAUGUUAAGAAAUUAAAUGGUUGUUCUGAAAGUUUGGUGUCAGAAGGUGUUGAUUUGGUUUUGAAACUUUGCCCAAUUGCAAAAAAAUAAAAAAUAAAAAUAUUUGGGCUACUGAUAGGCCAUGCCAAUGUGUAUUGUGUAUUGUGUCUUAUGCGGUGGUGUUGGAGCAUUUGAUACAUAUAUGAAUAUGGAGUGUUGGUACUUCCAAGUUGAAAAGCCUUGACAUGUGGCUCCAUGUUAUUUUGGACUUUUAGUAACCAUUAAAGGAUUUAUGCUAUUAGGGUUCAAAUAUUGUCUUCUGAUGUUUCUAACUUGCUGUAUUUAGCCAUUAAAGGACUUCUAACUUGAGGAAAGAAUUCUUCUCCCUUACCGAAGUAAUUCUAUCACUUCAGAAGAACCUAUGGCUGAAGUCUCCAGCCAAAAAAUCCAGUCUGCAGUAUUGGACAUGAUUACCAUGAUAUGUUCGGACAAGAGGACUAGUUCAGCAUUACAGACAGUCCUGAAGAAGGUUAGUGGUAUUGUCGUAGGUAUUGCUUGCAGUAGCAUGUCAGGUCUCAAAGAUGCAUCUCUAAGGGCAUUAUCAGGACUUGCUUGCAUUGAUUCAGACCUUACCUGGCUUCUGCUUGCCGACGUCUACUAUUCCCUGAAUAGAAGGGGGAUGUUAUCCUUCCACCAUGUCGAGAUCUGGCGGGGAUUUCUGAGCUGCUUCCUGCCGCAUCAUCCAAAAAGGAAUAUUUGUUUGUGAAUUAUGCAGGAGAAGAUUUAGGCCUUGAUAUAGAUCCUUCAUCCGUGGAGGUAGUAUUUAGAAAGAUGGAAUCAGUAGUUCUUUUAUGAUAACAUUUGUACAGUCAUCUGUAUCAUGUUGAAUGUACUCUGUAAAUUUGUGGGAGAUGUUAAGAAUCACUGAGAAUGUAAAAGGGCAUUAGAUGUCACUUUGCACAUGGUAGUUAUAAGAUUAUGUUACAUGCGGAGGCUUUUAGUGCACGUUUCCCAAAUGUUCGAGGCAAUGUUUUCAAAGGGCAUUUUCCUUUUCUAGCAA
Musa acuminata AAA Group (dessert banana) is the source of this 8649-nucleotide long non-coding RNA. RefSeq lists it as uncharacterized. NCBI's taxonomy places the organism in Eukaryota, Viridiplantae, Streptophyta, Magnoliopsida, Zingiberales, Musaceae. The transcript is spliced from 3 exons. The record is from RefSeq and is a predicted model, not a curated record.